RNAcentral lists this long non-coding RNA (213 nucleotides) under Panax ginseng (ginseng). RNAcentral's name for it is "long non-coding RNA (PGIN_LNC005238)". The record is from RNAcentral. Lineage: Eukaryota; Viridiplantae; Streptophyta; Magnoliopsida; Apiales; Araliaceae.
CAUGGAGUAUCAAUCAAGAUCAAUUUUAUGCUCCAAGUCCAACAUACCCACCGGAUUUCUCGUGUCCAUCUCCACUACAACAGGAAGAACAUUCAAAUUGGGAGGAAGCCUUGAAAAAAGUUAUUAAAGCUUCUGAAAAGAAACACGAGGAACAUGAAAAGAAACUUAAUCAAAUGGAGCUGAGUAUACAAAGUCAGAAUGCAUCGAUCAAGA